ACCGGGGGCGACAGCAAUAUGAAGGUCAGGCUGAAGACCUUACCGGAUUAGCUGAGAGGUGGUGCAUGGCCGUCGUCAGUUCGUACUGUGAAGCAUCCUGUUAAGUCAGGCAACGAGCGAGACCCACGUCCACAGUUGCCAGCAUACCCUCCGGGGUGAUGGGUACACUGUGGAGACCGCCGCUGCUAAAGCGGAGGAAGGAAUGGGCAACGGUAGGUCAGUAUGCCCCGAAUCUCCCGGGCUACACGCGGGCUACAAUGGUUGGUACAAUGGGCAUCUACCCCGAAAGGGGAAGGAAAUCUCUUAAAGCCAAUCGUAGUUCGGAUUGAGGGCUGCAACUCGCCCUCAUGAAGCUGGAAUCCGUAGUAAUCGCGUUUCAACAGAACGCGGUGAAUACGUCCCUGCUCCUU
RNAcentral lists this ribosomal RNA (410 nucleotides) under uncultured Methanosaeta sp. RNAcentral describes it as "bacterial SSU rRNA". It matches the Rfam family "Archaeal small subunit ribosomal RNA", at positions 929 to 1338 of the family's 1478-position model. Lineage: Archaea; Methanobacteriati; Methanobacteriota; Methanomicrobia; Methanotrichales; Methanotrichaceae. The record is from RNAcentral.